GACGACCGCUGGCGGCGUGCUUAACCCAUGCAAGUCGAACGGAAAGGCCCUGCUUUUGUGGGGUGCUCGAGUGGCGAACGGGUGAGUAACACGUGAGUAACCUGCCCUUGACUUUGGGAUAACUUCAGGAAACUGGGGCUAAUACCGGAUAGGAGCUCCUGCUGCAUGGUGGGGGUUGGAAAGUUUCGGCGGUUGGGGAUGGACUCGCGGCUUAUCAGCUUGUUGGUGUGGUAGUGGCUUACCACGGCUUUGACGGGUAGCCGGCCUGAGAGGGUGACCGGCCACAUUGGGACUGAGAUACGGCCCAGACUCCUACGGGAGGCAGCAGUGGGGAAUAUUGCACAAUGGGCGGAAGCCUGAUGCAGAAACGCCGCGUGCGGGAUGACGGCCUUCGGGUUGUAAACCGCUUUCGCCUGUGACGAAGCGUGAGUGACGGUAAUGGGUAAAGAAGCAGCGGCUAACUACGUG
RNAcentral lists this ribosomal RNA (468 nucleotides) under uncultured bacterium. Its description in RNAcentral is "partial 16S ribosomal RNA". It matches the Rfam family "Bacterial small subunit ribosomal RNA", at positions 28 to 507 of the family's 1533-position model. The record is from RNAcentral.